This 264-nucleotide ribosomal RNA is filed under the name uncultured bacterium. RNAcentral's name for it is "partial 16S ribosomal RNA". It matches the Rfam family "Bacterial small subunit ribosomal RNA", at positions 335 to 584 of the family's 1533-position model. The record is from RNAcentral.
ACUCCUACGGGAGGCAGCAGUGGGGAAUAUUGCACAAUGGGGAAAGCCCAUCGAUGCAGCCAUGCCGCGUGUGUGAAGAAGGCCAUUCGGGCUUGGUUAAAGACACUUUCAGUAGGGAGGAAGGUAGUGUAGUUAACACCUGCAUUAUUUGACGUUACCUACAGAAGAAGCACCGGCUAACUCCGUGCCAGCAGCCGCGGUAAUACGGAGGGUGCGAGCGUUAAUCGGAAUUACUGGGCGUAAAGCGCAUGCAGGCGGCCUGUU